UGGCUGGCCAAGAAAAUUUGGCAUCUGGCAUACCUAGGAAUCAUUCAAAAUAGUUUAAUAGGAAGGACAUUUUGAGGCCAGCCAGCAUUAUGACAUUUGUGGGUCCUACGGCAUUUCACCUUGGAAACAUUUUCCUGGGCAUCUAAAUCUAUUGUGGACCUGAGGCACUGUGCUUACAGGGCCUACUGGGUUGAUUCUAAAGAAGAAUGAAAAUCUAUAUACAUGAAAAGAUGUCUUAAAAAGUUUUGAACUACUCAAAGUUAAGAUUUGGGGAAAUAGAAAUAGUAUAUAACCUAAGAAAAUUGCCACUGGCUGUGAAGCCCCAUGGCAUUUUCUUUGCACUUCUUUGCUUCUCGUUAGAUUGUGUGUGUUUUUACCAUUUCACAUAAACUUUUAAAGAUUAUUCCACACCAUUAGCUCUGUGCUUCUA
Molecule: non-coding RNA, 430 nt
Filed under: Pongo abelii (Sumatran orangutan)
Lineage: Eukaryota; Metazoa; Chordata; Mammalia; Primates; Hominidae
Source: RNAcentral